UGGUAGUGAGAUAUACUGUGAUCUCUAUCACAGUAUCAUCGAAACUCCUUUCGAUGGGCUGAAACAAUUCCAACUCAUCUCAACAAGGAUCAUUGAUCUGAAAAUGAUCCUAAUGAGUUCUCACGAUCCAUCAGUAAUGUUUAACAGUAUGUAGUAGUAACCUAGUAGAAUAAAAAAGAUAAACCCCUAGGUAUAUUUAUCGUAUGAUACAAUCUCUCUAUCGUGAGCCCCAAC
RNAcentral lists this long non-coding RNA (234 nucleotides) under Elaeis guineensis (African oil palm). Its description in RNAcentral is "long non-coding RNA (EGUI_LNC058520)". Lineage: Eukaryota; Viridiplantae; Streptophyta; Magnoliopsida; Arecales; Arecaceae. The record is from RNAcentral.